RNAcentral lists this transfer RNA (61 nucleotides) under Argopecten ventricosus. RNAcentral describes it as "tRNA-Glu". Lineage: Eukaryota; Metazoa; Mollusca; Bivalvia; Pectinida; Pectinidae. The record is from RNAcentral.
CCGAAAAUCAAACCCAUUAAAGGGGGGAAUUUUCAAUUUUUUUGAUGAUUAUACUUUUUUU